This is a long non-coding RNA of Anas platyrhynchos (mallard), 2447 nucleotides long. RefSeq lists it as uncharacterized. The record is from RefSeq and is a predicted model, not a curated record. NCBI's taxonomy places the organism in Eukaryota, Metazoa, Chordata, Aves, Anseriformes, Anatidae.
GGCACCGGGUCCCGCCGCCCUCAGGGCAGCGCCACUGGUGGGCGGUGGGCGCUGUGCCCUCAGCGGGCUGUGGCUCGGCUGUAGCUCCCUCGGAGCAGCCUGCUGUGUGAGUUAGCAGGUCACGGUGCAUGGUCACAGCAGCUUCCAGCUUCCUCAUGAAUAAUCAGCUCCCAUCGCCCCUCGUGCACUGCAGGGCACGGUGCCGCGCCUCACAGAGGGCUCGUACUGCCCUGUGUGUUCCACGCGCUUCAUCCUGAGGCACUUAUUGUUCGUAAGUCCAGCAAAACCCAUAAAAACCCAGCCUAGAAGCUAAGGAAGCACACACACCGUGUGAUCCCAGCUGCCCAGGCUCUGGCAGUCACGCUGCAAGCACAGUAAUUAAUACUACAAGAUGUCCUGGCUGGUUUCUCAGUAGCCGCAUUACACGGGAGAUGUCUGAGGACCAGCUUAAAGCCCUGUGAGCGCAGCUCACCAAUUCCUUGACUUCCCCCUUCCUGCUUGCACAUCCUUCCACUCAUCAACCGGAGCCACAUGCUGAGGGCACGGGAAGCACACCCUGCUAUGAGCAGCACACCCUGCUCCGUGAUGGGAGCCCUCCUUCCAGCAGGGUGCCCGUGUGUGGUAGCUCCAGCUGCAGCGUGGGCUCGGUCCCACACCAGGUGCCUGCAUGGUGCUCAGCAGAUCAGGGACUGAACCACCCAGCUCUCAGGCAACUGCUGUCCCCGGACAGAAGCAGGAGCUCUGCCUUGCCUGUGGUGGAGGAUCCCAGCCCCGUCCCUCUGCAGCGCUACAACUGCUCGCCGGCAGCACGGCUCUGAGGCUGGGGCUUCUGGAUCUGUUCGGAGUCGUGAGUUACAACAUGUCCAGGGUAAUAAAAAUCCUGCACUUGCGAAGGGGUAGUUGUCAGCCACACAAAAGCCAUCUGUUAUGUUUUACAAAUGAAACCAGAGCAGCAGGCACAGUUCUGAUUACUUCAUCAAUUUCUUUCACGCUAGCCUGGAAUUUCAUCUGCAUGCCUACAGCAACUGGAUUCCAUCAGCAGCUCACACUAUCAGACAGAGAGCUUAAUCAGACAAAAGCAGACCUCCUGCUUACUACCUCUUUGGUAAUCAGGCUUCAAGGAAAAAAAAAAUAAAAGAGAAAAAUGAAAAAACAACAACAGAACACUUCAGGUUUUUCUCCUGAAUGGCAGGGAAAAAGACCUCCAACGUGAGAAGGUGAAGCCUCCUUCUCCAAGCUGUAGGACUGCAAGAGACUCUUCCCUAUUUUCCUGUGUUGUCAGCACAUUGUUAAUUAGGAUUCCCUGCUGCAGAUUGAGUUAACUGCAAAAUCUCACCUGCACAAAUAAACCACUUCUUCUAGUUCUGGAAAUUAUGCAUCUCCAGAGGACAGCUUUUGAGGUUUUCCUAGACGUUUCGCAGUGAGAUACCACCUAUAAUCUGUUCACCUGUCAGUACUUGCCCUUGUUUUGCCCUGCCCAGCAGCUGAAGGCUUUCUCCACUCAGAGACUCCCAUACACAAAAAGAUCAGCAAUUUUAUUCCUCGGUGCUUCCCUCCUAAGUGAGUUUGGAAUCAGCUGUAAAUGAGAGGUGAUCCGUGAGGCAGAAACAACAACAACAAAAAACAGCAAAAUCAGAGGAGCCUGACAAACAGGGUAGGAAGCCCACCAGAAAGAAGGUCACACCGGAUCAGGUCAAUUGCCCUGGCACUUCAGCUUGAUGUUUUUGCCCAGUAUUUCAAACAGACAAUUGAAAAGGUAUUUCUGCACACUGAAAAGAUCCCCUACGAGCCUUCUCUUCUCUGGAUGGAAUGGUUCCAGCUCUCUCAGCCUCUCCUGGUGUGUCAGGUGCUCCAGUCCCGCCAUCAUCCUUGCAGCACAUCGCAGGCCCCACUCCAGCAUGUCCAUGCUUCUCCCACGCUGUGGAGCCCAGGAUGGGAUGCGACAUCCCAGGUCAGAUGAAGUGAAUCCAGGUUCACCUACAAAACUUGACUCUUUAUGUAGAAGAAUGACAAUUUUUGUAUACAACACAGUGAAUAUCUGAGGAAAACAAAAAGACCUUUUAAGCUGCUCAAGCAAAAAAUGCGUACAGUUUAAGACAACCAUCUCAGGACUAACUCAGAAAGGAGCUGAUAGUUAUUCCACAAAGCCCACUUAAGACUCUACUGUUUAGUUUUAUACAAAAGAUGCUGCAAUACCAGAGGAACGGACAGCAGAAUUAUCCCUGAAGCAGAUCAGAGGGAUGGUCUAUGAGCUAACAGAAUUACUGCGAGAAGCAAAUCUUCUUUCUGCCGCAAAAACACGAAUAUAAAAAUCAGCACUGGGAAAAGACAGGUGGCGAACUCUCAGGUCACUACAGAACCACAGACUCGUGUUAUUAAGUAUUAAGAAACCGUAAUCCCAACGCUUUAACCCAUGACUGAAGGUAAUUUCGGUGGGAAUGAGGAAA